GCCGCUGUGGUGAAACUGGCAGACGCAGCAGACUCAAAAUCUGCCGGACUAACAUCCGUGUCGGUUCGACUCCGACCAGCGGCACCA
This 87-nucleotide transfer RNA is filed under the name Clostridiales bacterium. RNAcentral describes it as "tRNA-Leu". It matches the Rfam family "tRNA". From Rfam's summary of the family: Transfer RNA (tRNA) molecules are approximately 80 nucleotides in length. Their secondary structure includes four short double-helical elements and three loops (D, anti-codon, and T loops). The record is from RNAcentral. Lineage: Bacteria; Bacillati; Bacillota; Clostridia; Eubacteriales.